RNAcentral lists this ribosomal RNA (595 nucleotides) under Filobasidium magnum. Its description in RNAcentral is "eukaryotic LSU rRNA". It matches the Rfam family "Eukaryotic large subunit ribosomal RNA", at positions 75 to 656 of the family's 3401-position model. The record is from RNAcentral. Lineage: Eukaryota; Fungi; Basidiomycota; Tremellomycetes; Filobasidiales; Filobasidiaceae.
UUCCCCUAGUAACGGCGAGUGAAGCGGGAAGAGCUCAAAUUUGAAAUCUGGUGGCCUCAGGUCAUCCGAGUUGUAAUCUAUAGAAGUGUUUUCCGUGCUGGCUCAUGUACAAGUCCCUUGGAACAGGGCGUCAUAGAGGGUGAGAAUCCCGUCCUUGACAUGAACUACCAGUGCUCUGUGAUACAUUUUCAACGAGUCGAGUUGUUUGGGAAUGCAGCUCAAAAUGGGUGGUAAAUUCCAUCUAAAGCUAAAUAUUGGCGAGAGACCGAUAGCGAACAAGUACCGUGAGGGAAAGAUGAAAAGCACUUUGGAAAGAGAGUUAAACAGUAUGUGAAAUUGUUGAAAGGGAAACGAUUGAAGUCAGUCGUGCUCUUUGGAUUCAGCCGGUUCUGCCGGUGUACUUCCUUUGAGUGGGGUCAACAUCAGUUUUGAUCGCUGGAUAAAGGCUGGAGGAACGUAGUACCCUCGGGUAAACUUAUAGCCUCCUGUCACAUACAGUGGUUGGGACUGAGGAACGCAGCACGCCUUUAUGGCCGGGAUUCGUCCACGUACGUGCUUAGGAUGUUGACAUAAUGGCUUUAAACGACCCGUCUUA